RNAcentral lists this ribosomal RNA (224 nucleotides) under uncultured bacterium. RNAcentral's name for it is "partial 16S ribosomal RNA". It matches the Rfam family "Bacterial small subunit ribosomal RNA", at positions 111 to 334 of the family's 1533-position model. The record is from RNAcentral.
UAAUGCAUGGGUAACCGUACCCCGGGGACGUGGAUAGCCUUCCUAACGGAAGGGUAAUACGCGGCGAUCUGGCUGAGAGACAUCUUUUGGCCAGGAAAUGAAUUUCGCCUCGGGAGGGGCUCAUGUCGUAUUAGCUUGUUGGUGGGGUAACGGCCUACCAAGGCAAAGAUGCGUAGCGGGUGUGAGAGCACGACCCGCGCCACUGGCACUGAGACACUGGCCAG